RNAcentral lists this signal recognition particle RNA (299 nucleotides) under Paramormyrops kingsleyae. Its description in RNAcentral is "Metazoan signal recognition particle RNA (ENSPKIG00000002682.1)". It matches the Rfam family "Metazoan signal recognition particle RNA". Rfam says of the family: The signal recognition particle (SRP) is a universally conserved ribonucleoprotein. It is involved in the co-translational targeting of proteins to membranes. Lineage: Eukaryota; Metazoa; Chordata; Actinopteri; Osteoglossiformes; Mormyridae. The record is from RNAcentral.
GCCGGGCGCGGUGGCGUGCGCCUGUAAUCCAAGCUACUGGGAGGCUGAGGCUGGUGGACCACUUGAGCUCAGGGGUUCUGGGCUGCAGCGGACUAUGGCGAUCGGGUGUCCUCGCUAAGUUCGGUAUUGAUAUGGUGCUCCUGGGGGAGCCCGGGACCACCAGGUCGUCUAAGGAGGGGUGAACCGACCCAGGUCGGCAACGGAGCAGGUCAAAGCCCCCGUGCCGCUCAGUAGCGGGAUCGCGCCCGUGAAUAGACACUGUAGUACAGCCUGAGCAAUAUGGUGGAACCUUGUCCUUU